UACAGGCUUAACACAUGCAAGUCGAGGGGCAGCAUGGUCUUAGCUUGCUAAGGCUGAUGGCGACCGGCGCACGGGUGAGUAACACGUAUCCAACCUGCCGUCUACUCUUGGCCAGCCUUCUGAAAGGAAGAUUAAUCCAGGAUGGGAUCAUGAGUUCACAUGUCCGCAUGAUUAAAGGUAUUUUCCGGUAGACGAUGGGGAUGCGUUCCAUUAGAUAGUAGGCGGGGUAACGGCCCACCUAGUCAACGAUGGAUAGGGGUUCUGAGAGGAAGGUCCCCCACAUUGGAACUGAGACACGGUCCAAACUCCUACGGGAGGCAGCAGUGAGGAAUAUUGGUCAAUGGGCGAUGGCCUGAACCAGCCAAGUAGCGUGAAGGAUGACUGCCCUAUGGGUUGUAAACUUCUUUUAUAAAGGAAUAAAGUCGGGUAUGCAUACCCGUUUGCAUGUACUUUAUGAAUAAGGAUCGGCUAACUCCGUGCCAGCAGCCGCGGUAAUACGGAGGAUCCGAGCGUUAUCCGGAUUUAUUGGGUUUAAAGGGAGCGUAGAUGGAUGUUUAAGUCAGUUGUGAAAGUUUGCGGCUCAACCGUAAAAUUGCAGUUGAUACUGGAUGUCUUGAGUGCAGUUGAGGCAGGCGGAAUUCGUGGUGUAGCGGUGAAAUGCUUAGAUAUCACGAAGAACUCCGAUUGCGAAGGCAGCCUGC
RNAcentral lists this ribosomal RNA (701 nucleotides) under uncultured Bacteroidales bacterium. RNAcentral's name for it is "bacterial SSU rRNA". It matches the Rfam family "Bacterial small subunit ribosomal RNA", at positions 41 to 729 of the family's 1533-position model. The record is from RNAcentral. Lineage: Bacteria; Pseudomonadati; Bacteroidota; Bacteroidia; Bacteroidales.